RNAcentral lists this ribosomal RNA (473 nucleotides) under Everettia dominiki. RNAcentral's name for it is "partial 16S ribosomal RNA". It matches the Rfam family "Bacterial large subunit ribosomal RNA", at positions 1796 to 2620 of the family's 2925-position model. Lineage: Eukaryota; Metazoa; Mollusca; Gastropoda; Stylommatophora; Ariophantidae. The record is from RNAcentral.
UCGCCUGUUAACAAAAACAUAGCUUAUGGAUUAUUUAUAUAAGGUUUUACCUGCCCAAUGAUAUAAUUUAAAUGGCCGCAGUACUUUGACUGUGCUAAGGUAGCAUAAUAAAUUGACUUUUAAUUAAGGUCUAGAAUGAAAGGAUAAAUGAAUAUAUACUGUCUUUAAUUAGUUAAUAUUAAUUUUCUUAGAAGGUGAAAAUUCCUUUAGGUAUAUUAAAAAGACGAGAAGACCCUAGGAGUUUUAAAUAAACCUUUUUGUUGGGGCAACACUAUAACAAAUAAUUUAUAGUAAUAUUACAAAUUAAACGAAAUCUUUUAAUUAUAAAUAAGCUACCCUAGGGAUAACAGCAUAAUUUAUUUUAAAAUAAGUUUGUGACCUCGAUGUUGGACUAGGGACUUUAAAUAUUAACUAUAUUUAUUGGGUUGUUCUGUCGAACAUUUUAUACCUACGUGAUCUGAGUUCAGACCGGA